Molecule: long non-coding RNA, 3405 nt
Organism: Clupea harengus (Atlantic herring)
Lineage: Eukaryota; Metazoa; Chordata; Actinopteri; Clupeiformes; Clupeidae
Source: Ensembl
ACCCAGGCGGGGGCCCAUGGACCCUAGUGAGUACCCCCUGCAGGCCUGGGGAGGGGGGUCCCCCCACAGAGACCCCGGCCUCUACCCCAGCCCCCCGCAGCCCACCUACCACCACCCGCACCUCCACCCGGCGUACCCCUCCAGAGACGGAUACCCCCAGCAGGGGGGCGACCCGCGCCAGGCCGACCCAGGGUACUACCCUCCUCCCCCCGUCCAGCCGAGGGGCCCCCUGAGGCAGGACGUGCCCCCCUCCCCCCCGUGCCCGUGCGCGCCCCCCGGUACGACACCCUCAACCGGGGCCCGCCGGGCGGGGGCGGGGGCGGGGGCGGGGGCUACAGGCAGGCCAGCCCGGAGCGCUACGCCUACGGAGACCCUCGGCAGACGAGUGCCAUGACCGCCGCCGUGUAGUGGAGCUCCAGCCAACCAAACCAAACCAGACAACACGGUUGAUGAUGUGUGUCUGUGUGUGUGUGUGUGUGUGUGUGUGUGUGUGUGUGUAUAUGUAAACCUAAGCAUGUUCAUUCAUAUCUGUGUGUGCUCAGGAAUGUGCCUUGUGUGCUUGCAGGUGUGUAUAACAGGAGAACGUGUAUGUGUGUGUGUGUGUGUGUGUGUGCAUGCAUGCAUGUGUGUUUAUGUGACCAAACUCAACACAUGUACAGUGUGUGUGUGUGUGUGUGAGCGAGAGAGAGAGUGUGUGUGAGUGAGUGAGUGAGUGAGAGAGUGAUGUAAAGGCUCCUGCAGUGUUUUUAUGAAAGAAACUGCGGAUGUCACUAGAAGGGAACCACUGAAACCUGACACUCACUCACACACUCUCUCACACACUCACUCACACACUCUCUCACUCACGGCAGAGGAGCUCUUGCUGCCCCACUCACAUCACACCAGCAGGAGCAAAAAUGUGCCAUAACCGUCAAAGUGAAGGACACCGACGCUCCGUGUGUGUGUCCGUGCGUGUGCACGUGCGGGUGUGUGUGUGUGUGUGUGCCUGCGUGUGCAAGUGUGCAUGUGCUUGCGUGUGCGCUCGUGUGUGUGUGUGUGUGUGUGUGUGUGUGUGUGUGUGUGUGUGUGUGUGUGUGUGUGUGUGUGUGCGCGCGCGUGCGUGCGCGCGCGUGUGUGUGUGUGUGUGUGUGUGUGUGUGUGUGUGUGUGUGUGUGAUGAUUGUUGCAUCUCCGUCCUGUGACAUGUGUUGCUCCUCUCAGCAUUAGUGCUCUAUAACCCUCUUUGCCAAAACCAGCUCAGACCUCAGCAGCUGACUCUGGAGUAGCCCAUGACUCAGAACUGGCCUGCAUCUGGCCUGCAUCUGGCCUGCAUCUGACUCAGAACUGGCCUGCAUCUGGCCUGCAUCUGACUCAGAACUGGCCUGCAUCUGGCCUGCAUCUGACUCAGAACUGGCCUGCAUCCGGCCUGCAUCUGGCCUGCAUCUGGCCUGCAUCUGGCCUGCAUCCGGCCUGCAUCCGGCCUGCAUCUGGCCUGCAUCUGACUCAGAACUGGCCUGCAUCUGGCCUGCAUCUGGCAUGCAUCUGGCAUGCAUCUGGCCUGCAUCCGGGCCCGGGCCCACUAAAGCUGCACCUGAUGUGGCCCCAGUCCAUCUCUAAGCGUAUCACACCUCCUAAUGGAAACAGAGGGCCCAGUUAUCUGGUGCUGAUGCCAGAGGGCCCAGUCAUCUGGUGCUGAUGCCAGAGGGAAAGCCUUGGGCUGGCCCCAGGUCUUAGCAGGAAACAGGCCAUAAAUCUGCUCCUGAUUUGGCACCAGUAUAGGCCUGGAUAUGGCCCUGAUAUGGCCCAGAUAUGGCCCUGAUAUGGCAUAGGUAGUAUGGCCCUGAUAUGGCAUAGAUAUGGCCCUGAUAUGGCCCAGGUAUGGCAUGGUUGUGGGUCUACUAGAUAUGAGCCUUUCAGAGUCAGCUGUUGUGUUUGAGGUCUCUCAAUGCAUGCUGUUAUUCCAUUAACACAAGGUCACUUUGUAAAGACUAACUGAAAGUAUAUCGCUUUUGUUUGUUUGUCUGUUUGUUCUUGUUUAUUGUUUUUGCAUACUCCAGCAUGUCAUUUCUCCUGUUUUGUUUGUAUUGAAGACAUGAAUCAGCCACUCCUGAAUCAGAAGAUCACACCCUUUACGUGUGAGAAGAGAGACUAAGAUGGUCUCGUGUAGUGUGUGUGUGUAGUGUGUGUGUGUGUGUGUGUGUGUGUGUGUGUGUGUGUGUGUGUGUGUGUGUGUGUGUGUGUGUGUGUGUGUGUGAUAAGAGAGGCUAAGAUGGUCUUGUGUAGUGUGUGUGUGUGUGUGUGAUGCUGGUGAGAAGAGAGACUAAGAUGGUCUCGUGUAGUGUGUGUGUGUGUGUGUGUGUGUGUGUGUGUGUGUGUGUGUGAUAUUGGUGAGAAGAGAGACUAAGAUGGUCUCGUGUAGUGUGUGUGUGUGUGUGUGUGUGUGUGUGUGUGUGUGUGUGUGUGUGUGUGUGUGUGUGUGUGUGUGUGUGUGUGUGUGUGUGUGUGUGUGUGUGUGUCAUGCGGGUCAUAUGAGCAUGUGGAGUACACAGAGGUGACUAAGACCGCGGGGGGGGGUCACACAGAAGAUGAGAGGCGUGAGCGCGCAAACAGGAAGUGUGGAAGCUCGUUUUGGAACCGCGAUGAACAGACAGACAGGAAGGAUGAGAAGGAGACAUGACUCUUGUCCCCAAACACUCCCAAAGGCAGGCAGCCCUAUUGAUCUUGGCCUGGGGGGGGUGGGGGGGGGGGGGUCGGACGAGAGGCUGGCGGAUGGUGGGCAGGAAACGUGACUACACCCACGUACUCCCCAACCUCCACCACCACCACCAUUCUUCAAUCUCUGGCCACUGAUCUUGGCCUUGGGGGUAGGGGUGUUGGGCGGGGGGGCUGUAACCUGUCUGCCUUUUUCACCCUCCUGUAGCUGUCUUAUUGCAGGAUGUAGUACAGCCCUCCCAGAACGGGGGUUCAGGGUUUGCCUAGAUACGAGCGGCCAUUGGGUUGAGGGUGGGGUGACACAUCAACAUUCCACACGAUUGUUUUUUUUUUUUCUUUUUUUUCUUUUUUUUUCAUUGUUUUGUUUUUGUAUGUCUUUGUUUGUUUUCUUUACACAUUUGUAGCCAAAUACAGUGUUUAAGUGAAAUUUUGCAUUUGGUGUCAAUUGUUUUUUUAUUUCAUAAACGUUAUUAUGCAUUUUCAUUAUAAUGGUUGCACAACGUCUUGUUUUUGAAGGUACUGACUGCACUCCCAAUGUGCAGAGCCUGUGGUAAUAAUGGAAGUAACACGAAACACAAUAAUACUGUGGAGAAUGAUGUUCAACAUUAACAUUUUACUCCAUCAAAAAAAAAUGCAUCCCCACAUAAAAAAAAGUGUGACUAAUUUCAUAUCAUGUAACAUUUGUAAGCAUUUUCUCUUUGAUAUUAAUGUGGUG